GGAGGAGCUGACGCACAGAGCCGAGCUGGCAGCUGGAGGGCAGGAGGAAGAGGAGGAAGAAGAGAAGAGGCUCCCAGCGUGUCCAUUCUGCCAAAUAACUCAUACAGAGAUGACUGGGUGAAGCUGGAAGCGUGGCCAUGAGGUUUUUACAAAGAUGCAAGCAUCGCGCUCUCCUCUCGCCGCUGCAGAGGAAACACACCACUCCUGAGCUGAGGAGUUGUCGGGCUGCCAAUUACGCACAAUAAAUACUAUUUUCCUUCCAGGAUCCCUCACUUUCCCCCUCCACACUUGCUUAGACCUCGACUGUCACAAAAGAUACCUCCUUUUAAUAACCGUGAACAUUUAAAUAACUUGCCCAAGGUCAAACAGCAAGCUAACGGCAGAGGGGAACAGCAGCAGCUUUCCUUUAAUCGCACGAUAAGACUUCAAAGGAACGCUUGGAGACCCCAGAUAGGCUCUGUGUUGCUUCAGAUGCCUUCUAUCUGCAAGGAAGCGAUUGGGGGCAGCAACCACCUUUCUCAGAUGUGGGCUAGACACAGGAUGUCUCAGCCUUGUUCGUUUGUGAUGGGUGCCCAGCUGGCUGACAGCCUUGGGAUAGGAAUUUAAGCUGCAGCCCUGCAGCUCCAGCAGCGCAAGCCUCGGUGCUAUUCGCUGGGGGAAGCAGACUCACAAACCAAAGUGAACCGAGCCACCAUCAGUUUACAUCUCCUUUCCAGGUCUAGCUUAAUGUCCACUGCCUGCUGUAGUCCAGGGUCUGGAAGGCUUGCAGAGGGGGGCUUAGCCCAAGGUAAACCCCAAACGUUAAGUAAAAGAUGUCUCACAUGCACAGAGAAAUAAAAAUGGGUUUCUUCCCUUUUACUGCAGCGUCACCUCUAGCCCUGGGGAGGAAGCAGGAAUCUGUCCGUCUCCCCCACUGCCUGACAAUUUCAGUUUUGAGGCAGAGGGGCUGAAUUUCUUGUCAAUGGCUAAGAAAAGACCUGUCUCUUCCCCUCCCCACACCCUCAGAGGGCUUUAACAAAAAAAUAAAACCCAGCAUACCCAGAAGCAAUACUCACAUACAGCCAGAGAUGAGAAGCUGACAACAGCAACCAAGUUAUACGCAGAGUUGCAACCGAUUCUGAACCCUUUUCUGUUUAAAUGGCAUUUUGUCCCAACACCCAUCAAUGACUUUGUUUUCUUCAUGGGAUACAGAGAGACGGAUUGGCUUAGCUGGAAAGAAAUACCAGCGCAGACUAGGAAAAUCAUCUGAACAAGUUGUUCUGUAAGGAAGAGGCAGAGGGAUGGAAAAGGAGGGUUUGGGAGGCCAGGCUGAAAGGACGGCAGAAGCCGGGACUCACCUCCUCGGCGCUGAGCGGUGACAGAGAAACAACAGAUCAACUUGGAGAGGCUGGUUCACCUGGCAGCCAGGUAGGAGGGCGGGUCCUGGGGGCAGGAGCAAAGCAGCAGAUGCCGGACAAAGGCAACCGGAGGGGAGAGGGCUCUCUGCCACCCACCUGCACAGAGCAGGCUUUUCAGCAACGGCAACCAAAGCUGAAAGGCUGGCACCUCCUGCAGCCCUGGUGUCUCCUGCCCUCUCUCCCCUCUCCUGCUCAAGCACCCAGAAGAACGGGGAGCAGCCAGGCAGGCUGCCUCCGUGGGUGCAACUCCCCCAGCAGCACCAGCAGGGAGCAAGGAGAAGGAGCAGGGAUGGAACCAGGGAAAGCGGCUUCUCAGGGGCCAUUUCUCUAAAGGCAACGGGCCAGCAGGUUGAGUUCACACGUUUCCCCUACUCAGAGUUCGUUCACACACAGCAGAAGCGUUGACAAAUGUCUUCCUGCGCUCACUGUGGCACAGAGACGCAGCAGGGCCCUGCAUGAGGAAACCCCUGGUCUGAGCUGUGCCCCAGCAAGGGCACAGACACGCACGUGGAAACGGGGCUGAAUUCACGGGUGAUGUCACAUGCACGGGCUCCUUUACAGAAAGCAACCCCAGUGUCAGCAGACACCCACCUCCCGCCUCCCAUCAGCCGGCGCAGGCGUUGCUGUGUGCCCAUGCGAACAGACUUUGAA
Falco peregrinus (peregrine falcon) is the source of this 2048-nucleotide long non-coding RNA. RefSeq lists it as uncharacterized. The record is from RefSeq and is a predicted model, not a curated record. NCBI's taxonomy places the organism in Eukaryota, Metazoa, Chordata, Aves, Falconiformes, Falconidae. The transcript is spliced from 3 exons.